This 512-nucleotide ribosomal RNA is filed under the name Ruminococcus sp. CS6. Its description in RNAcentral is "bacterial SSU rRNA". It matches the Rfam family "Bacterial small subunit ribosomal RNA", at positions 8 to 521 of the family's 1533-position model. The record is from RNAcentral. Lineage: Bacteria; Bacillati; Bacillota; Clostridia; Eubacteriales; Oscillospiraceae.
AGAGUUUGAUCCUGGCUCAGGAAUAACGCUGGCGGCGUGCUUAACACAUGCAAGUCGAACGGGAAACUUUUUAUUGAAGCUUCGGCAGAUUUAGUUUGUUUCUAGUGGCGGACGGGUGAGUAACGCGUGGGUAACCUGCCUUAUACAGGGGGAUAACAACCAGAAAUGGUUGCUAAUACCGCAUAAGCGCACAGGACCGCAUGGUCCGGUGUGAAAAACUCCGGUGGUAUAAGAUGGACCCGCGUUGGAUUAGCUAGUUGGCAGGGUAACGGCCUACCAAGGCGACGAUCCAUAGCCGGCCUGAGAGGGUGAACGGCCACAUUGGGACUGAGACACGGCCCAGACUCCUACGGGAGGCAGCAGUGGGGAAUAUUGCACAAUGGGGGAAACCCUGAUGCAGCGACGCCGCGUGAAGGAAGAAGUAUCUCGGUAUGUAAACUUCUAUCAGCAGGGAAGAUAGUGACGGUACCUGACUAAGAAGCCCCGGCUAACUACGUGCCAGCAGCCGCGGU